RNAcentral lists this unclassified non-coding RNA (376 nucleotides) under uncultured Solirubrobacterales bacterium. Its description in RNAcentral is "contains 16S-23S intergenic spacer region". Lineage: Bacteria; Bacillati; Actinomycetota; Thermoleophilia; Solirubrobacterales. The record is from RNAcentral.
UCCGGUUUGUCACCGGCAGUCUCGCAUGAGUCCCCAACUAAAUGCUGGCAACAUGCGACGGGGGUUGCGCUCGUUGCGGGACUUAACCCAACAUCUCACGACACGAGCUGACGACAGCCAUGCACCACCUGUGAAGGUGCCCCGAAGGGAAGGCGUGUUUCCACGCCGGUCACCCACAUGUCAAGCCCAGGUAAGGUUCUUCGCGUUGCGUCGAAUUAAACUACAUGCUCCGCUGCUUGUGCGGGCCCCCGUCAAUACCUUUGAGUUUCGGUCUUGCGACCGUACUCCCCAGGCGGAGUGUUUCACGCGUUAGCGACGGCACCGGGAGGGUCGCUCCCCCCGACGCCUAGUGCCCAUCGUUUACGGCGUGGACUAC